This 439-nucleotide ribosomal RNA is filed under the name uncultured bacterium. RNAcentral's name for it is "partial 16S ribosomal RNA". It matches the Rfam family "Bacterial small subunit ribosomal RNA", at positions 338 to 795 of the family's 1533-position model. The record is from RNAcentral.
CCUACGGGUGGCAGCAGUGGGGGAUAUUGCACAAUGGGGGAAACCCUGAUGCAGCGACGCCGCGUGAGUGAAGGAGUGUUUCGGUAUGUAAAGCUCUAUCAGCAGGGAAGAGACUGACGGUACCUGACUAAGAAGCCCCGGCUAACUACGUGCCAGCAGCCGCGGGAAUACGUAGGGGGCGAGCGUUAUCCGGAUUUCCUGGGUUAAAAGGGGACGUAGGCGGACUGGAAAGGCAGCGGGAAAAUCGAGAGGCUCAACCUCUUUCCGCCGUUGAAACUGUAGGGCUGGAGUGGGAGAGAAGCAGGCGGAAUGCGUGGUGUAGCGGUGAAAUGCAUAGAUAGCACGAAGAACUCCGAUGGCGAAGGCAGCAUACCGGCGCCCGACUGACGCUGAGGCACGAAAGCGUGGGUAGCGAACAGGAUUAGAUACCCGAGUAGUC